CAGGUUCAUUCAGGCCCCAAAAUCUUCAUUAUUUUUUAUUCUUGUAGCUAUUUACAUAUUUAUUUUUAAAUGACUAUUGUGGUGGUUUGUAGUCAAACUUAUGGCAUACAAGUGUGAAAGCAGCAAAAUACUAUUAAAUCUUUUUUUUUUAUUGUUGCUAAUAAGGCUUUUAUUGAAACAUAACUAGUAUGUUACAGAAGUUAGAACUGUACGGUAUGUUCAGUUCCGGUUACAUCAGAAGCUAAAAGCGAUAAGACAACAAUAGGAGGAUUUUCAAAUAUCCGUAGUUCUUUUCCCAUGCUUGGCUAAUACAUCCGCUACAUCAUUACCCUCUCUGAAUGUUUGUUGAAUCGUGGUCACCUGGAGUUCCUUGAGCAUCGACCUGCAUGCAAAAAUGAUAUGUGAGUAUAUUGUUGGAGCAUUUGAUAAGAUGUGUAGCAGUUCACUUGUAAUGAUCUAAAAUUAUGAGCAUUUGCUAGCAAUACACCAUGAUAUAAGACUAGCAAUUCACCUUGUAGACCCAUACACCCAGGUGUCUGAGACAUCGCGAAAAACUUUGACUGCCCCACCCUUAUGAGACAAAUUAACAAAGGCUCCAUCGAUAUUUAUCUUAUAGUACCCUUGGGGGAGGGGUUGCCAUUUGAUUGCAAUGCUAGUAGUUAGUAUGUGUUUUUGAGUGUAUGUGCUAGCUAGGUAAUAAAAUUGGGCUACCUGAGUAUAUAUGUUGUGGAAAUUAACGUGAGCUGGGUGUGAUUGAAGAUAUUAUUAUUAUGGUUGAUCUAGAUCUGCCAUAAGUUCAUUGAAACUACAAUAUGUAAUGGAAUAACAUUAGGAGGAGAGAUGAUUGAAAUACAUAGAUGUUUGAUCCAAUUUGUAGUAAAGUAUGGUGGAAGAGGAAUAUUAAAGUGGUGCCAUGCAUUGAAGACGGUGGUAAAAUGAAAAAAAUAUAUGAUUAAUAUCUUCAUGUGCUUGUUUGCACAAGGGACAUGUGAGAUCAGUAGAAAUGUUGCGAUUAGAGAGAAAUGUGUGGGUUGGUAGUUUGGCUUGUAGCAUGAGCCAGAGGAAGUGUUUAUUUUUGUAGGUAGAAUAUAUCUUCCAUACCCAAGUGAGCUGGGAACGGAGUUGUUCCGUGUAUGGAAGAAACGUUAUUACGAUGUAUGCAGUAGAGGUCGAGAAAUCUAUUGUUGAUGAGGGAUUCUAAAAAGGCCUUUAAAACUAAAUGUAGAGCUCAACAAAGUAUUAGUGAUGGGUGAGAAUAGGGAAUGUGAGAUGUCAAAGGAAAGUGUUUGGAGGUUUCACGAGCCAUUUUGGACGAUAGAGUUGAGUGGGAGGUUAUAUUUAUUUUUGUUGAAUGGUACAUGAAUAAGAUGAGAUAAAGUGUGGAGCGUAGGUAGCUAGUAGUCAUACAAAAGUUGUAUUUGAUUACCAUUGGAUAUAUUCCAAUCUUAUCCCUGUUUGAAAAAAAUGUAUGCUUUUG
RNAcentral lists this long non-coding RNA (1477 nucleotides) under Nicotiana benthamiana. RNAcentral's name for it is "long non-coding RNA (NBEN_LNC028069)". Lineage: Eukaryota; Viridiplantae; Streptophyta; Magnoliopsida; Solanales; Solanaceae. The record is from RNAcentral.